CAGUAGCCGCGGUAAUCCGAAGGGGGCUAGCGUUGUUCGGAUUUACUGGGCGUAAAGGGCGCGUAGGCGGGCGAAUAAGUCAGGGGUGAAAUCCCAAGGCUCAACCUUGGAACUGCCUUUGAUACUGUUUGUCUUGAGUUCGAGAGAGGUAAGUGGAACUGCGAGUGUAGAGGUGAAAUUCGUAGAUACUCGCAAGAACACCAGUGGCGAAGGCGGCUUACUGGCUCGAAACUGACGCUGAGGCGCGAAAGCGUGGGGAGCAAACAGGAUUAGAUACCCCCGUAGUCCCUGUCUCUUAUAC
RNAcentral lists this ribosomal RNA (301 nucleotides) under uncultured bacterium. RNAcentral's name for it is "partial 16S ribosomal RNA". It matches the Rfam family "Bacterial small subunit ribosomal RNA", at positions 509 to 807 of the family's 1533-position model. The record is from RNAcentral.